This 57-nucleotide transfer RNA is filed under the name Bifidobacterium longum. Its description in RNAcentral is "tRNA-Asn". It matches the Rfam family "tRNA", at positions 7 to 59 of the family's 71-position model. From Rfam's summary of the family: Transfer RNA (tRNA) molecules are approximately 80 nucleotides in length. Their secondary structure includes four short double-helical elements and three loops (D, anti-codon, and T loops). The record is from RNAcentral. Lineage: Bacteria; Bacillati; Actinomycetota; Actinomycetes; Bifidobacteriales; Bifidobacteriaceae.
GCGUAGCUCAGUUGGCAGAGCAUCCGACUGUUAAUCGGACGGUCGCUGGUUCAAGCC